CAUAGGAGCAGUGGUGUGUGUGAGUGGUGCAAUGUGUAAGGGGUGCAGUGUGUGUGUGAAGGUUGUAGUGUGUGAGUGAGGGCGGCAGUGUAUGUCAGGGAUGCAGUGUAUGUGUGGGACAGUAUGUGUGUGUAACAGUUGCAGUGUGUGUGUAUGGGGGGCAGUGUGUGUGUAUGGGGGGGCAGUAUGUGUGUAUGGGGGGCAGUAUGUGUGUAUGCAGUGCGUGUGUAUGAGGGGCAGUGCGUGUGUAUGAGGGGCAGUUUGUGUGUAUGGGGCAGUUUGUGUGUAUGGCGGGCAGUUUGUGUGUGUAUGGGGGCAGUGUGUGUGUGUAUGGGGGGCAGUAUGUGUGUAUGUGGGGCAGUAUGUGUGUAUGUGGGGCAGUAUGUGUGUAUGUGGGGAAGUAUGUGUGUAUGGGGGCCAGUGUAUGUGUAUGAGGGGCAGUGUGUGUGUAUGGGGGCAGUGUGUGUGUAUGGGGCAGUGUGUGUGUAUGGGGGCAGUUUGUGUGGGGCAGUUUGUGUGAAUGGGGGGCAGUUUGUGUGUAUGGGGGGCAGUUUGUGUG
Pelobates cultripes (western spadefoot toad) is the source of this 559-nucleotide non-coding RNA. Lineage: Eukaryota; Metazoa; Chordata; Amphibia; Anura; Pelobatidae. The record is from the annotation of a GenBank genome assembly.